RNAcentral lists this ribosomal RNA (414 nucleotides) under Triticum aestivum (bread wheat). RNAcentral's name for it is "partial small subunit ribosomal RNA". Lineage: Eukaryota; Viridiplantae; Streptophyta; Magnoliopsida; Poales; Poaceae. The record is from RNAcentral.
AUGGGAGCUUUCCCUUCACCGCCCCCAUGGGGGUGGUCCACAGGGUUCAUAACUACCCCUCUUACUAUGGGGCGUUUACCUAGACAACACUUAGAUCCGGCUCUACCCAAACUUUUUUGGUUCACCCCAACAUUACCCACUUGUCCGACUGUUGCUAAGCAGUUUUGGGAUACUAAACGAACCUCCCCAGAUGGUAAUCUUAAAGUGGCCGAUUUACCCUCUUCUGCAAUGAGUUUCGCUACAGCACCUGCUGCUCUAGCUAAUUGCCCACCCCUUCCACGUGUGAUUUCUAUGUUAUGCAUGGCCAUGCCUAAGGGCAUAUCAGUUGAAGUAGAUUCUUCUUUUCUCUCAAAAAACCCCUUCCCAAACUGUACAAGCUUCUUCCAAAGCAUACGGCUUUCUAGAUGUAUAUGA